GUACACGCUGUGACUAGCAUAUCAAUAAGCGGAGGAAAAGAAACCUAACAAGGAUUCCCUCAGUAACGGCGAGUGAAGCGGGAAGAGCUCAAAUUUGAAAUCUUGAAAGGUCACCCUUCACGAAUUGUAGUUUAAAGAAGUGUUUUCUGUUACGAUCGUAAUAUAAGUUCUUUGGAAUAGGACAUCACAGAGGGUGAGAAUCCCGUCUAUGAUUGCGAUUUGUAGCUUUGUGAUACACUUUCAAAGAGUCGGAUUGUUUGGGAAUGCAGUCCAAAACUGGGAGGUAAAUUUCAUUCUAAAGCUAAAUAUUGGCGAGAGACCGAUAGCGAACAAGUACCGUGAGGGAAAGAUGAAAAGAACUUUGAAAAGAGAGUUAAAUAGUACGUGAAAUUGUCAAAAGGGAAGCUGUUUAACACCAGUGUUGUUUUCUGAAAAUCAACCUCUGUUAGCUUUAUGCAUGUUUGUUUAGACCUAAUCAGCUAUCUUGCAUGUUCUAUUGUUUGCAGUGGUGCACUUUUCAGUUUACAGGUCAACAUCAGUUUUUUUUACCGUAAAAAAGUUAAAGAAAGGUAGCUCAUGGCUCCGGUCGUGAGUGUUAUAGUCUUUUUCCUAUGCGGUAGGAGAGACUGAGGUCUGCAGUGUAGGCUAUUUGGCUAGAUACUCAGGUGCUAUGUGAUACCAUUUCAUAAACAACUUGUUGAUUAUGUUUUGUCUAUUGCAUACUCGCUUGUACUAUCAUACCUACGCUUAGGAUGUUGACGCAUGAGAUAUACGC
Molecule: ribosomal RNA, 775 nt
Filed under: uncultured Neocallimastigales
Lineage: Eukaryota; Fungi; Neocallimastigomycota; Neocallimastigomycetes; Neocallimastigales
Description: partial large subunit ribosomal RNA
Rfam family: Eukaryotic large subunit ribosomal RNA
Source: RNAcentral